RNAcentral lists this ribosomal RNA (279 nucleotides) under uncultured bacterium. Its description in RNAcentral is "partial 16S ribosomal RNA". It matches the Rfam family "Bacterial small subunit ribosomal RNA", at positions 506 to 784 of the family's 1533-position model. The record is from RNAcentral.
UGCCAGCAGCCGCGGUAAUACGGAGGGUGCAAGCGUUAUCCGGAAUCACUGGGUUUAAAGGGUGCGUAGGCGGCGUUAUAAGUCGGAAGUGAAAGCCCCCAGCUUAACUGGGGAACUGCUUUUGAUACUGUAGUGCUUGAAUCACGUUGAGGUUAGCGGAAUGUGACAUGUAGCGGUGAAAUGCAUAGAUAUGUCAUAGAACACCAAUUGCGUAGGCAACUGACUAGGCGUGUAUUGACGCUGAGGCACGAAAGCGUGGGGAGCGAAUGGGAUUAGAUA